UACCAGCACCCCGAGUGGUCGGGACGUUUAUUGGGCCUAAAGCCUCCGUAGCCGGUUCUACAAGUCUUCCGUUAAAUCCACCUGCUUAACAGAUGGGCUGCGGAAGAUACUAUGGAGCUAGGAGGCGGGAGAGGCAAGCGGUACUCGGUGGGUAGGGGUAAAAUCCGUUGAUCCAUUGAAGACCACCAGUGGCGAAGGCGGCUUGCCAGAACGCGCUCGACGGUGAGGGAUGAAAGCUGGGGGAGCAAACCGG
RNAcentral lists this ribosomal RNA (253 nucleotides) under uncultured bacterium. Its description in RNAcentral is "partial 16S ribosomal RNA". It matches the Rfam family "Archaeal small subunit ribosomal RNA", at positions 474 to 727 of the family's 1478-position model. The record is from RNAcentral.